Molecule: ribosomal RNA, 918 nt
Filed under: Escherichia coli
Lineage: Bacteria; Pseudomonadati; Pseudomonadota; Gammaproteobacteria; Enterobacterales; Enterobacteriaceae
Description: bacterial LSU rRNA
Rfam family: Bacterial large subunit ribosomal RNA
Source: RNAcentral
ACGGAGAAGGCUAUGUUGGCCGGGCGACGGUUGUCCCGGUUUAAGCGGGUAGGCUGGUUUUCCAGGCAAAUCCGGAAAAUCAAGGCUGAGGCGUGAUGACGAGGCACUACGGUGCUGAAGCAACAAAUGCCCUGCUUCCAGGAAAAGCCUCUAAGCAUCAGGUAACAUCAAAUCGUACCCCAAACCGACACAGGUGGUCAGGUAGAGAAUACCAAGGCGCUUGAGAGAACUCGGGUGAAGGAACUAGGCAAAAUGGUGCCGUAACUUCGGGAGAAGGCACGCUGAUAUGUAGGUGAAGCGACUUGCUCGUGGAGCUGAAAUCAGUCGAAGAUACCAGCUGGCUGCAACUGUUUAUUAAAAACACAGCACUGUGCAAACACGAAAGUGGACGUAUACGGUGUGACGCCUGCCCGGUGCCGGAAGGUUAAUUGAUGGGGUCAGCGCAAGCGAAGCUCUUGAUCGAAGCCCCGGUAAACGGCGGCCGUAACUAUAACGGUCCUAAGGUAGCGAAAUUCCUUGUCGGGUAAGUUCCGACCUGCACGAAUGGCGUAAUGAUGGCCAGGCUGUCUCCACCCGAGACUCAGUGAAAUUGAACUCGCUGUGAAGAUGCAGUGUACCCGCGGCAAGACGGAAAGACCCCGUGAACCUUUACUAUAGCUUGACACUGAACAUUGAGCCUUGAUGUGUAGGAUAGGUGGGAGGCUUAGAAGUGUGGACGCCAGUCUGCAUGGAGCCGACCUUGAAAUACCACCCUUUAAUGUUUGAUGUUCUAACGUGGACCCGUGAUCCGGGUUGCGGACAGUGUCUGGUGGGUAGUUUGACUGGGGCGGUCUCCUCCUAAAGAGUAACGGAGGAGCACGAAGGUUGGCUAAUCCUGGUCGGACAUCAGGAGGUUAGUGCAAUGGCAUAAGCCAGCUU